Long non-coding RNA from Amblyraja radiata (thorny skate), 325 nucleotides. RefSeq lists it as uncharacterized. Lineage: Eukaryota; Metazoa; Chordata; Chondrichthyes; Rajiformes; Rajidae. The record is from RefSeq and is a predicted model, not a curated record. The transcript is spliced from 2 exons.
CUGUGCGGACCAGGUAUGGGAGAGAGGUUAGAAAGCCGAAGAGACUUGAUUGGUGAUUUAUUGAUUUGUUUUCUACGGUAAAGAAAAAGAGAGUGAAAUGUGAUGUGAAAUUGUUCUGCUAAACCUGUUACAUUUACCUGAAACCUGAGACAAUAGUUCACAGUAUGGUAACGUGUAAGUUAUUUUAUUGCUAUUUUGCAAGCUUGAAACAGGGACAGAUCAGGGACAGGUCUUCCAGCAAAAGGGCAGAAUAAACCCCUUAAGACCUGCAGAGACAAAGGUAGUCCACCCUUUGUUCUCAAAGAAAGGGAGAUGUGGUAUUAUG